RNAcentral lists this unclassified non-coding RNA (404 nucleotides) under Hevea brasiliensis (rubber tree). Lineage: Eukaryota; Viridiplantae; Streptophyta; Magnoliopsida; Malpighiales; Euphorbiaceae. The record is from RNAcentral.
AAAAAAAAAAAAAAAAAAACCUACAAACAGCUUCUUCUAAAACAGAAAGAAAUUAUAUAAAUAACAUUUGAUUCCAAAACCCUAGGACAAAAACCCAGGAAUUAGCGUGAGAGAGAAUUUAGGCCAAAAGGAACAAGGAAAAAGAAAGUUACCCAACAAGGAAACCAACGAGACUGGCAGUUUUAUGGUGUGAGAAAUACGACAAAUAAAAGGUUUUUCAGGAGCAGAAGAAGCAAAUAAGUGACGAACAAGCAGAGAAACAGAGAGGCUGAGGAAGAGGCUGAGGCAGCUAGAACGAAAAAGAUCCGUUGGGAGAGUAGCGUAGAUAUAGAGAGACACACACACACUCAGAGUCUCUGUGUAAUGUGAAUUGAGGAGAGUUGAAAGGAUGAGACGAGAAAACA